AAUCCGUGGUGUGGGCAUUUUUGAAUUAGCAUCUUAAAACACUCCCAUGCUUCUUCAAAGCUUUCUCUUUCUAAUUGUUUAAACAUUGAAAUUUCUCUUUUUAGCU
Non-coding RNA from Gossypium hirsutum (cotton), 106 nucleotides. The record is from Rfam. Lineage: Eukaryota; Viridiplantae; Streptophyta; Magnoliopsida; Malvales; Malvaceae.